AAGCCGCACCAUUGAUGUCGUUAAUGGCUGCUGACGGCCAUUACUCCCUCUCCCGGUGCUCUCUCUCUCUCUCUUCUCCCUCUAUAAAAGCUCGACGCCAAGCUCAUGGACCAUUUCCCCCGGCUGCCGAGCUCGCCCACGCCUCUCCUCUCUCCUUGUCGUCGUACGUCGCCGUCGACCGACAUUGUCUCGUCGUCUCCGACGUUCGUCACCACCGGAACACCUCUGUCCACCGUCCAUGCCGUCGACCGGAGCUCGAAGCUCCACCGUCCACAUCCUUUACUCACCUCGUCCACAAUCGGUCGGAACCUCGCUCGUCGCCAGCCCCUGCGUGCAAGAAAUAGAGGAGGGAAGAAGCGGAUUCUGUGGUAGAGGACCCAAAUUCAUUUGAGGAAGAUCCACAUGAUACUUUUGAACAAGGCAAGUGGAUUCUCCCUCUGCAUUUCUUAUUUGUACCCAAAUAAUACAUUCAAUAAGAUUUACUUUUGGAUAUGUGCAUAAUUUGAUGGGUUUUGCCUAAAUAGGAUUAUCUAGAAAUACCAACCUUAUUCCUUGAUUAACAUGGGAUUAAUACUAUGCUUAGUAGCUAUGCUAAUGCUCAACUUUAUCAUUAUGAUAUCACUCUUUGAAAACAAUAUGGUUCCGGAGAUGAAUUUUAUACUAUUGUUGUUAAUCCGACGAUUAAACAAGAUCAUUUUGUAUUAAACGUAACAUGGACUGACAAUAUCCGACGAUUAAACAAGAUCAUUUUGUAUUAAACGGAACAUGGACUGACCACCUAGGAAAAAAAGUACAACCAUGAGUGCUAUCAUGGCUCUGUCUUUGGUAAAUAGCUUUACUUAGUACUUAGCAACCUUACCUGAAAGAUGGGCACCGACAGUGGUUUGGUGGCAGCUCACGUUAACACGGAUGAUAGUCUUGGCUCAGGUACCUCAGCCAGAGGGUCACCAAUACUGAUGUGGAAACCUUAGCGGGUGAUUAGGAGCUUGUUGAUCUAUUUGGGGCACUUGUGAGAGGGCCAAGCCUUGUGUGCGAUCAACCAUGCCAUAGUGGUGAAAAAUCUGUCCGUAUGGAGCACUUGAUUAUUACAUAGAUUAAGGUGGAGUUAUACCUUGUUCACAUGCUCUAAUGAGAACUAGUGGAGAGUCGCCCAAUGCCUUCAGAAACAUCAACAUGUAUGUAAACCGUUUUUUAUUUUGAGCAUCUAUAUUUGUGCAAUUACUUCAUGAA
Zea mays is the source of this 1230-nucleotide long non-coding RNA. RefSeq lists it as uncharacterized. Lineage: Eukaryota; Viridiplantae; Streptophyta; Magnoliopsida; Poales; Poaceae. The record is from RefSeq and is a predicted model, not a curated record. The transcript is spliced from 2 exons.